UACAGAGGUCUCAAGCGUUGUUCGGAUUCAUUGGGCGUAAAGGGUGCGUAGGCGGCGCGGUAAGUCGGGUGUGAAAUUCGCGGGCUUAACUCCGAAACUGCAUUCGAUACUGCCGUGCUUCGAGGACUGGAGAGGAGACUGGAAUUUACGGUGUAGCGGUGAAAUGCGUAGAUAUCGUAAGGAAGACCAGUGGCGAAGGCGGGUCUCUGGACAGUUCCUGACGCUGAGGCACGAAGGUCAGGGGGAGCAAACGGG
This 255-nucleotide ribosomal RNA is filed under the name uncultured bacterium. Its description in RNAcentral is "partial 16S ribosomal RNA". It matches the Rfam family "Bacterial small subunit ribosomal RNA", at positions 524 to 776 of the family's 1533-position model. The record is from RNAcentral.